UACGUAGGGUGCAAGCGUUGUUCGGAAUCAUUGGGCGUAAAGCGCGUGUAGGCGGUUAUUUAAGUCGAUUGUGAAAUCCCUGGGCUCAACCGAGGAAGUGCAGUCGAAACUGAAUAGCUAGAGGAUGGCAGAGGAAGGUGGAAUUCCAAGUGUAGAGGUGAAAUUCGUAGAUAUUUGGAGGAAUACCUGUGGCGAAGGCGGCCUUCUGGACCAUUCCUGACGCUGAGACGCGAAAGCGUGGGG
RNAcentral lists this ribosomal RNA (243 nucleotides) under uncultured prokaryote. RNAcentral's name for it is "partial 16S ribosomal RNA". It matches the Rfam family "Bacterial small subunit ribosomal RNA", at positions 524 to 766 of the family's 1533-position model. The record is from RNAcentral.